GUGCCAGCGGCCGCGUUAAUACAGAGGUCCCAAGCGUUGUUCGGAUUCACUGGGCGUAAAGGGUGCGUAGGUGGCAGGGUAAGUCGGAUGUGAAAUCUCCGAGCUCAACUCGGAAAUGGCAUUGGAAACUACCCAGCUAGAGGGUCGGAGGGGGGACUGGAAUUCUCGGUGUAGCAGUGAAAUGCGUAGAUAUCGAGAGGAACACCAGUGGCGAAGGCGAGUCCCUGGACGACUCCUGACACUGAGUCACGAAAGCUAGGGGAGCAAACGGGAUUAGAUACCCCAGUAGUCC
RNAcentral lists this ribosomal RNA (292 nucleotides) under uncultured bacterium. RNAcentral's name for it is "partial 16S ribosomal RNA". It matches the Rfam family "Bacterial small subunit ribosomal RNA", at positions 505 to 796 of the family's 1533-position model. The record is from RNAcentral.